ACUUUACAAUGCGGGAAACCGUGAUAAGGGAACUCCGAGUGCCCGUAAAAUCGGGCUGUCCAUCUGUUUAAAUAACAGGUGAAGAAAGGGCCGGGCAAGACCGGUGCCAGCCGCCGCGGUAAUACCGGCGGCUCGAGUGGUGGCCACUAUUACUGGGCUUAAAGCGUUCGUAGCUGGUCUGUUAAGUCUCUGGGGAAAUCUACUGGCUUAACCAAUAGGCGUUUCAGGGAUACUGGCAGACUAGGGACCGGGAGAGGUGAGGGGUACUCCAGGGGUAGGA
Molecule: ribosomal RNA, 280 nt
Filed under: uncultured archaeon
Lineage: Archaea
Description: partial 16S ribosomal RNA
Rfam family: Archaeal small subunit ribosomal RNA
Source: RNAcentral